GUGGGGGGUGCUUACCAUGCAAGUCGAACGAUGAUGCCCAGCUUGCUGGGUGGAUUAGUGGCGAACGGGUGAGUAACACGUGAGUAACCUGCCCCUGACUCUGGGAUAAGCGUUGGAAACGACGUCUAAUACUGGAUAUGACUGCCGGCCGCAUGGUCUGGUGGUGGAAAGAUUUUUUGGUUGGGGAUGGACUCGCGGCCUAUCAGCUUGUUGGUGAGGUAAUGGCUCACCAAGGCGACGACGGGUAGCCGGCCUGAGAGGGUGACCGGCCACACUGGGACUGAGACACGGCCCAGACUCCUACGGGAGGCAGCAGUGGGGAAUAUUGCACAAUGGGCGAAAGCCUGAUGCAGCAACGCCGCGUGAGGGAUGACGGCCUUCGGGUUGUAAACCUCUUUUAGUAGGGAAGAAGCGAAAGUGACGGUACCUGCAGAAAAAGCACCGGCUAACUACGUGCCAGCAGCCGCGGUAAUACGUAGGGUGCAAGCGUUGUCCGGAAUUAUUGGGCGUAAAGAGCUCGUAGGCGGUUUGUCGCGUCUGCUGUGAAAUCCCGAGGCUCAACCUCGGGCUUGCAGUGGGUACGGGCAGACUAGAGUGCGGUAGGGGAGAUUGGAAUUCCUGGUGUAGCGGUGGAAUGCGCAGAUAUCAGGAGGAACACCGAUGGCGAAGGCAGAUCUCUGGGCCGUAACUGACGCUGAGGAGCGAAAGCAUGGGGAGCGAACAGGAUUAGAUACCCUGGUAGUCCAUGCCGUAAACGUUGGGCGCUAGAUGUAGGGACCUUUCCACGGUUUCUGUGUCGUAGCUAACGCAUUAAGCGCCCCGCCUGGGGAGUACGGCCGCAAGGCUAAAACUCAAAGGAAUUGACGGGGGCCCGCACAAGCGGCGGAGCAUGCGGAUUAAUUCGAUGCAACGCGAAGAACCUUACCAAGGCUUGACAUACACCGGAAACGGCCAGAGAUGGUCGCCCCCUUGUGGUCGGUGUACAGGUGGUGCAUGGUUGUCGUCAGCUCGUGUCGUGAGAUGUUGGGUUAAGUCCCGCAACGAGCGCAACCCUCGUUCUAUGUUGCCAGCGGGUUUUGCCGGGGACUCAAAGAAACUGCCGGGGUCA
RNAcentral lists this ribosomal RNA (1108 nucleotides) under Curtobacterium citreum. RNAcentral describes it as "bacterial SSU rRNA". It matches the Rfam family "Bacterial small subunit ribosomal RNA", at positions 39 to 1160 of the family's 1533-position model. Lineage: Bacteria; Bacillati; Actinomycetota; Actinomycetes; Micrococcales; Microbacteriaceae. The record is from RNAcentral.